GACUGCUAUCGGAUUGAGAUUUAGCCAUGUGAGUCGAACGUCCCCCUGUUGCGGGGGGCGUGGCGUACGGCUCAGUAACACGUGGUCAACCUGCCCUGGAGACAUGGACAACCCCGGGAAACUGGGAUUAAUCCGUGAUAGGUCAUCCCAUCUGGAAGGAGGGAUGGCUUAAAGGGGCGCGCGGGCUUCUUCCGUGCGUUCGCUCCAGGAUGGGACUGCGUCCGAUCAGGCUGUUGGCGGGGUAAUGGCCCACCAAACCUGUAACCGGUACGGGCCUUGAGAGAGGUGGCCCGGAGAUGGACACUGAGAGAAGGGUCCAGGUCCUACGGGGCGCAGCAGGCGCGAAACCUUCGCAAUGCGCGAAAGCGUGACGAGGUUAAUCCGAGUGGCCUCCGCUGAGGAGGUCUUUUGUCAGCUGUAAAUAGGCGGGCGAAUAAGGGGAGGGCAAGCCUGGUGUCAGCCGCCGCGGUAAUACCAGCUCCUCGAGUGGUCGGGGCGAUUAUUGGGCCUAAAGCACCCGUAGCCGGUUCCGUAGGUCCUCUGUUAAAUCCAUCCGCUCAACGGAUGACCUGCAGAGGAUACCGCGGGACUAGGAGGCGGGAGAGGCGGACGGUACUCCGCGUGUAGGGGUAAAAUCCUUUGAUCCGCGGAAGACCACCAGUGGCGAAGGCGGUCCGCCAGA
Molecule: ribosomal RNA, 682 nt
Filed under: uncultured archaeon
Lineage: Archaea
Description: bacterial SSU rRNA
Rfam family: Archaeal small subunit ribosomal RNA
Source: RNAcentral